This 72-nucleotide transfer RNA is filed under the name Cyclichthys orbicularis (birdbeak burrfish). RNAcentral describes it as "tRNA-Val". It matches the Rfam family "tRNA". Rfam says of the family: Transfer RNA (tRNA) molecules are approximately 80 nucleotides in length. Their secondary structure includes four short double-helical elements and three loops (D, anti-codon, and T loops). Further hydrogen bonds mediate the characteristic L-shaped molecular structure. tRNAs have two regions of fundamental functional importance: the anti-codon, which is responsible for specific mRNA codon recognition, and the 3' end, to which the tRNAs corresponding amino acid is attached (by aminoacyl-tRNA synthetases). tRNAs cope with the degeneracy of the genetic code in two manners: having more than one tRNA (with a specific anti-codon) for a particular amino acid; and 'wobble' base-pairing, i.e. permitting non-standard base-pairing at the 3rd anti-codon position. Lineage: Eukaryota; Metazoa; Chordata; Actinopteri; Tetraodontiformes; Diodontidae. The record is from RNAcentral.
CAGAGCAUAGCUAAGAAAGAAAAGUAUCUCCCUUACACCGAGAAGUCAUCCGUGCAAAUCGGAUUGCCCUGA